Long non-coding RNA from Humulus lupulus (European hop), 1508 nucleotides. RefSeq lists it as uncharacterized. The record is from RefSeq and is a predicted model, not a curated record. The transcript has 3 exons. NCBI's taxonomy places the organism in Eukaryota, Viridiplantae, Streptophyta, Magnoliopsida, Rosales, Cannabaceae.
AAAAAAAUUCUAAGCAAGCUUUUCCCUUUUGGUUUGCUUUUGUUUCUUUGCCAAAAGGAGAGGACACUGAUGUCAAAAGAGAUGAUCUUGCAAGGGCUCUAAUGCUUGGUGGAGGUUAUCUAUUUGGGUUGCCUUUGGGGUUUGUUGCUGAUUCUAUUGGUGCAACAAUUGGUGCUACAACUGCAUUUAUUCUUGGUAGAACAGUGAGUAUUGUAGACCAUAGUUUUCUUUAAGGACAAUUAAUUUUUUAAUUUUCUUUAACUAGAUUUAAGAUGCUUGCAAGUUGAAAGUGCUUGUCAUAUAUUAGACCAUAUUUUCCUCAUUUAUUGUGUUUAGUUUUAAUAUUUGAUUACAGAUGCUUGCCUUAUAUUGAGCUCUAAUUUCAGAAAAUAAGAGAACUUCACUGGUUCUAUAGCAGGAUUUUACAUGAUCAAACCAAUGUUUGAUUAGCUUAUAUUUGAUUAUACUCUGUUUGAUUAGCUUAAUGGUCCAUUGAUUGUGAAGAAAACAUAAAAACUAAAUUCUUCUUUUGCUCAUUUUGGAUAUAGCCUUGCUCUCUUUUAUGUUAGUAGACUUCCAAAUCUUUGAAGUUAGAACCUUCUUUGUUUACUCUAUGCAAGUAGGAUAUGAUCUUCUGAUCCAAACCAAUAGUAAUUCAAUCUAGAAGUUAGUUGUACCAAACUAGUUUUUUAAGCUGUUGGUCUCGACAGAGUUGUUAAUUAGUUGUGGUGCUUAAGUAUAGAUGACUGUUUGAUCUUAUAUGUGUUCCUAGUUAUGGUUGUUGUGGUGGUAUUGUUUUUGUACCAGUGGCAGUAAGGAGUUAUUUAAAUAUUUAUAACUUGAUUAGUGUGCAUUAAUAUAGUUAGGGGUGUGCAUAACAUGGUUCUCUUGUUCUGUUUUGAUAAAUGUUCCUUGCAUAUUAAACUACACAUUGUGGAAUGUGUCCAGUAUAUAAUAUAAAAUAUUCAAAAGCAGCAUGCUCAAGUGGUAGAUUAAGUAAAUCUUGCUGUCUAGGUUAUGGAAUCUCAUUAAUUAUAAAUUAAAAUUGUUACUAUGUCAAAGGAAUUAAAAUACACAUUGUGGAAUGUGUGUUCAGUAUAUAAUAUAAAAUAUAUGCUCAAGUGGCAGGUUAAGUGUGAGUAAGGGGGUAGUAAUUUUGUUUCUUAUGUGUAUUGUUUAGGCUCCUCCAGUUUAUCUACCAGAAAGGAACUUGCCUCCACCUCCUGCAUAUGUGAUGAACAACCUGGUGACUGAAACCAAUAUGUAUCAACACCAUCCACCCCAGAAAUUGAUAUGCUCGGUUAUGUUUGGUUCUUGUGGGCUUCUUACUUAGGGAUAGUUCAAAAGUGUUCUUCUUCUUUGUAUUUUUUUUUAUCUGAAAGCAUGUUGUAUAAACUUUAUUGCAUGGUCCUCUCUUGAUGAUGCCUUGUCUUCUGUUUUUAUAAGUAUUUUUUCGUUGUAACAAAAGCUGUCUUUGAGUUGUUCCUUGAGUCACUGCCAUGUGUAUC